UGGGGAAUUUUGCGCAAUGGGGGAAACCCUGACGCAGCAACGCCGCGUGAGUGAUGAAGGCCUUCGGGUCGUAAAGCUCUGUCAGAGGGGAAGAAAUGCAGGGGUGCUAAUAUCAUCUUUGCUUGGCGGUACCCUCAAAGGAAGCACCGGCUAACUCCGUGCCAGCAGCCGCGGUAAUACGGAGGGUGCGAGCGUUGUUCGGAAUUAUUGGGCGUAAAGCGCGUGUAGGCGGUUUGGUAAGUCCGAUGUGAAAGCCCCGGGCUCAACCUGGGAAGUGCAUUGGAAACUGUCAGAAUUGAAUACGGGAGAGGGUAGGGGAAUUCCUAGUGUAGGAGUGAAAUCCGUAGGUAUUAGGAGGAACACCGGUGGCGAAGGCGGCUACCUGGACCGAUAUUGACGCUGAGACGCGAAAGCGUGGGGAGCAAACAG
Molecule: ribosomal RNA, 429 nt
Filed under: uncultured bacterium
Lineage: Bacteria
Description: bacterial SSU rRNA
Rfam family: Bacterial small subunit ribosomal RNA
Source: RNAcentral